Patella vulgata (common limpet) is the source of this 592-nucleotide long non-coding RNA. RefSeq lists it as uncharacterized. NCBI's taxonomy places the organism in Eukaryota, Metazoa, Mollusca, Gastropoda, Patellidae. The transcript has 6 exons. The record is from RefSeq and is a predicted model, not a curated record.
CGUGCAAUAGUAAAAAAAAAGUCCUAUGUAUAUAAAUGAUUUGGGCGAUGGCUAGAAAAUAACACAUAUUCAAUGACACUCACUGGCCUAGGACACAUUGAACAGUAAAAUCAAGAUGUUUCGAUUCGUCGUUUUGUUGGUUGUCAUUACUGGGGCGUCAGCUUUGAAGAAUUAUUGGUAUGCUCUAUAUGGAUGUCAUCCACCCAGUUCACUAAGAGCUCGAGCUGAGUUAACAGGAUUUGACAAUGACAGAGAUUUUAAUGGUGUAGUGACAAAUGAAGACAUCGACAUAGAUGUUAUUGCCUAUGAUUAUAACGGGGAUGCGACUCGUACAUAUGAAUGGGAAACUGUUUUUCACUGGAGAUGUCGAUAUGGGUGGAAUGAAGAUUUUGGUCAAUAUUUCCACAAUCUCCUCGAUGGGAACAAAGAUGGUGUCUGGACAGCAGUGGAUUUUGGAGGCUCAUUUUAUAUGACUGGUGAGGCUUUCAGGAAAAGACAAAUUGAUCGAUUCAGAAAAUAUUGUGAAGAUAGGAACAACAAACCCCAAGAUUGUUGGAAAUUAAAAUCCGAACCAAACCUAGACAAUUUCGGA